CAGUCGCCGCGGGAAUACGUAGGGUGCAAGCGUUAAUCGGAAUUACUGGGCGUAAAGCGUGCGCAGGCGGUUAUAUAAGACAGAUGUGAAAUCACCGGGCUCAACCUGGGAACUGCAUUUGUGACUGUAUAGCUAGAGUACGGCAGAGGGGGAUGGAAUUCCGCGUGUAGCAGUGAAAUGCGUAGAUAUGCGGAGGAACACCGAUGGCGAAGGCAAUCCCCUGGGCCUGUACUGACGCUCAUGCACGAAAGCGUGGGGAGCAAACAGGAUUAGAUACCCCCGUAGUCCCUGUCUCUUAUAA
Molecule: ribosomal RNA, 301 nt
Filed under: uncultured bacterium
Lineage: Bacteria
Description: partial 16S ribosomal RNA
Rfam family: Bacterial small subunit ribosomal RNA
Source: RNAcentral